This 1489-nucleotide ribosomal RNA is filed under the name Lactiplantibacillus pentosus. RNAcentral's name for it is "bacterial SSU rRNA". It matches the Rfam family "Bacterial small subunit ribosomal RNA". The record is from RNAcentral. Lineage: Bacteria; Bacillati; Bacillota; Bacilli; Lactobacillales; Lactobacillaceae.
GACGAACGCUGGCGGCGUGCCUAAUACAUGCAAGUCGAACGAACUCUGGUAUUGAUUGGUGCUUGCAUCAUGAUUUGCAUUUGAGUGAGUGGCGAACUGGUGAGUAACACGUGGGAAACCUGCCCAGAAGCGGGGGAUAACACCUGGAAACAGAUGCUAAUACCGCAUAACAACUUGGACCGCAUGGUCCGAGUUUGAAAGAUGGCUUCGGCUAUCACUUUUGGAUGGUCCCGCGGCGUAUUAGCUAGAUGGUGGGGUAACGGCUCACCAUGGCAAUGAUACGUAGCCGACCUGAGAGGGUAAUCGGCCACAUUGGGACUGAGACACGGCCCAAACUCCUACGGGAGGCAGCAGUAGGGAAUCUUCCACAAUGGACGAAAGUCUGAUGGAGCAACGCCGCGUGAGUGAAGAAGGGUUUCGGCUCGUAAAACUCUGUUGUUAAAGAAGAACAUAUCUGAGAGUAACUGUUCAGGUAUUGACGGUAUUUAACCAGAAAGCCACGGCUAACUACGUGCCAGCAGCCGCGGUAAUACGUAGGUGGCAAGCGUUGUCCGGAUUUAUUGGGCGUAAAGCGAGCGCAGGCGGUUUUUUAAGUCUGAUGUGAAAGCCUUCGGCUCAACCGAAGAAGUGCAUCGGAAACUGGGAAACUUGAGUGCAGAAGAGGACAGUGGAACUCCAUGUGUAGCGGUGAAAUGCGUAGAUAUAUGGAAGAACACCAGUGGCGAAGGCGGCUGUCUGGUCUGUAACUGACGCUGAGGCUCGAAAGUAUGGGUAGCAAACAGGAUUAGAUACCCUGGUAGUCCAUACCGUAAACGAUGAAUGCUAAGUGUUGGAGGGUUUCCGCCCUUCAGUGCUGCAGCUAACGCAUUAAGCAUUCCGCCUGGGGAGUACGGCCGCAAGGCUGAAACUCAAAGGAAUUGACGGGGGCCCGCACAAGCGGUGGGGCAUGUGGUUUAAUUCGAAGCUACGCGAAGAACCUUACCAGGUCUUGACAUAUUAUGCAAAUCUAAGAGAUUAGACGUUCCCUUCGGGGACAUGGAUACAGGUGGUGCAUGGUUGUCGUCAGCUCGUGUCGUGAGAUGUUGGGUUAAGUCCCGCAACGAGCGCAACCCUUAUUAUCAGUUGCCAGCAUUAAGUUGGGCACUCUGGUGAGACUGCCGGUGACAAACCGGAGGAAGGUGGGGAUGACGUCAAAUCAUCAUGCCCCUUAUGACCUGGGCUACACACGUGCUACAAUGGAUGGUACAACGAGAUGCGAACUCGCGAGAGUAAGCUAAUCUCUUAAAGCCAUUCUCAGUUCGGAUUGUAGGCUGCAACUCGCCUACAUGAAGUCGGAAUCGCUAGUAAUCGCGGAUCAGCAUGCCGCGGUGAAUACGUUCCCGGGCCUUGUACACACCGCCCGUCACACCAUGAGAGUUUGUAACACCCAAAGUCGGUGGGGUAACCUUUUAGGAACCAGCCGCCUAAGGUGGGACAGAUGAUUAGGGUG